GACGAACGCUGGCGGCGUGCUUAACACAUGCAAGUCGAACGGAAAGGCCCUGCUUUUGUGGGGUGCUCGAGUGGCGAACGGGUGAGUAACACGUGAGUAACCUGCCCUUGACUUUGGGAUAACUUCAGGAAACUGGGGCUAAUACCGGAUAGGAGCUCCUGCUGCAUGGUGGGGGUUGGAAAGUUUCGGCGGUUGGGGAUGGACUCGCGGCUUAUCAGCUUGUUGGUGGGGUAGUGGCUUACCAAGGCUUUGACGGGUAGCCGGCCUGAGAGGGUGACCGGCCACAUUGGGGCUGAGAUACGGCCCAGACUCCUACGGGAGGCAGCAGUGGGGAAUAUUGCACAAUGGGCGGAAGCCUGGUGCAGCAACGCCGCGUGCGGGAUGACGGCCUUCGGGUUGUAAACCGCUUUCGCCUGUGACGAAGCGUGAGUGACGGUAAUGGGUAAAGAAGCACCGGCUAACUACGUG
RNAcentral lists this ribosomal RNA (468 nucleotides) under uncultured bacterium. RNAcentral's name for it is "partial 16S ribosomal RNA". It matches the Rfam family "Bacterial small subunit ribosomal RNA", at positions 28 to 507 of the family's 1533-position model. The record is from RNAcentral.